Myotis brandtii (Brandt's bat) is the source of this 446-nucleotide long non-coding RNA. RefSeq lists it as uncharacterized. Lineage: Eukaryota; Metazoa; Chordata; Mammalia; Chiroptera; Vespertilionidae. The record is from RefSeq and is a predicted model, not a curated record. The transcript has 4 exons.
GUCCCGCCCUCGGGUUAAGUGAGCAGAGAUUCCCCUCGCGCCCCAGCAAGGGUGGGGGUCCUGGAUGUUUCCUAAGUUGCCGCAGGCUCCUUAGCGCGUAGUCGGGCCAGCGGGGGCGUUCUACCAUGGUGUGUGAGUCUGAGAAACAGCCUACCUGAUUGUGUGAUACUGCAUUUUCAUCAACAUUGAAGCAAAACCCUCUACCAGCCACAUGAUUACGACUUGCUGAAGAUUCAGAUGAUAGCAUCUUUUUAACAAAUUUUUUUUAUAAUUAAGUGGUCUGGAAACAAUCCUGCAAUAUCUCUGCGAUAUAUCAGUAUGUACACAUGGAAUAUUAUUCAGCCAUAAAAAAAAGAAUGAAAGCUGCCAUUUGCAACAUUGGUGGGCCCUGAGAGCAUUAUGCUAAAUAAAAUAAGUUUGCCCAGCUGGCGUGGCUCAGUGGUUGA